RNAcentral lists this transfer RNA (72 nucleotides) under Marmota monax (woodchuck). Its description in RNAcentral is "tRNA.Ala". The record is from RNAcentral. Lineage: Eukaryota; Metazoa; Chordata; Mammalia; Rodentia; Sciuridae.
GUGGUUGUGACUCAAUUGAUAGAGCACUUGCUUAGCAUGCAUGAGGCACUGUGUUCAAUCCCCAGCACCAUA